CCAAGACGACGAUGCGUAGGGGUUCUGAGAGGAAGGUCCCCCACACUGGUACUGAGACACGGACCAGACUCCUACGGGAGGCAGCAGUGAGGAAUAUUGGUCAAUGGGCGGGAGCCUGAACCAGCCAAGUCGCGUGAGGGAUGACGGCCCUAUGGGUUGUAAACCUCUUUUGCCGGGGAGCAAAGUGCCGCACGUGUGCGGUUUGGAGAGUACCCGGAGAAAAAGCAUCGGCUAACUCCGUGCCAGCAGCCGCGGUAAUACGGAGGAUGCGAGCGUUAUCCGGAUUUAUUGGGUUUAAAGGGUGCGUAGGCGGACGCUUAAGUCAGCGGUAAAAUUGCGGGGCUCAACCUCGUCGAGCCGUUGAAACUGGGUGCCUUGAGUGGGCGAGAAGUACGCGGAAUGCGUGGUGUAGCGGUGAAAUGCAUAGAUAUCACGCAGAACUCCGAUUGCGAAGGCAGCGUACCGGCGCCCAACUGACGCUGAAGCACGAAGGCGUGGGUAUCGAACAGGAUUAGAUACCCUGGUAGUCCACGCAGUAAACGAUGAAUGCUAGUUGUCCGGGGCGAUUGAGUUCUGG
RNAcentral lists this ribosomal RNA (577 nucleotides) under uncultured bacterium. RNAcentral's name for it is "bacterial SSU rRNA". It matches the Rfam family "Bacterial small subunit ribosomal RNA", at positions 268 to 842 of the family's 1533-position model. The record is from RNAcentral.